CACUACGUAGCUCAGUGGUAGCGCGUCUGGUUUCAAAUUUCGAAUCUUUCAAAAGGUUGCAGUUCGAAUCCUGUGGUAA
Phanerochaete carnosa HHB-10118-sp is the source of this 79-nucleotide non-coding RNA. The record is from the annotation of a RefSeq genome assembly. Lineage: Eukaryota; Fungi; Basidiomycota; Agaricomycetes; Polyporales; Phanerochaetaceae.